UACGAAGGGGGCUAGCGUUGUUCGGAAUCACUGGGCGUAAAGCGCACGUAGGCGGAUUUUUAAGUCAGGGGUGAAAUCCCGGGGCUCAACCUCGGAACUGCCUUUGAUACUGGAGAUCUUGAGUCCGGAAGAGGUAAGUGGAGCUGCGAGUGUAGAGGUGAAAUUCGUAGAUAUUCGCAAGAACACCAGUGGCGAAGGCGGCUUACUGGUCCGGAACUGACGCUGAGGUGCGAAAGCGUGGGGAGCAAACAGG
Molecule: ribosomal RNA, 253 nt
Filed under: uncultured bacterium
Lineage: Bacteria
Description: partial 16S ribosomal RNA
Rfam family: Bacterial small subunit ribosomal RNA
Source: RNAcentral